AUUGAACGCUGGCGGCAUGCCUAACACAUGCAAGUCGAACGGCAGCACGGUGUGUAGCAAUACACAUGGGUGGCGAGUGGCGGACGGGUGAGUAAUGCUUAGGAAUCUGCCCAAUGGUGGGGGAUAACUAACCGAAAGGUUAGCUAAUACCGCAUACGCCUUUACGGGGAAAGCGGGGGAUCGAAAGACCCCGCGCCGAUGGAUGAGCCUAAGUCCGAUUAGCUAGUAGGUAGGGUAAUGGCCUACCAAGGCGACGAUCGGUAGCCGGUCUGAGAGGACGGCCAGCCACACUGUAACUGAGACACGGUCCAGACUCCUACGGGAGGCAGCAGUGGGGAAUAUUGGACAAUGGGGGAAACCCUGAUGCAGCAAUGCCGCGUGUGUGAAGAAGGCCUGCGGGUUGUAAAGCACUUUCGGUUGGGAAGAAAAGUUUGGCGCUAAUACCGCCGAACCUUGACGUUACCGACAGAAGAAGCACCGGCUAACUCUGUGCCAGCCGCCGCGGUAA
RNAcentral lists this ribosomal RNA (508 nucleotides) under uncultured bacterium. Its description in RNAcentral is "partial 16S ribosomal RNA". It matches the Rfam family "Bacterial small subunit ribosomal RNA", at positions 29 to 523 of the family's 1533-position model. The record is from RNAcentral.